Molecule: ribosomal RNA, 815 nt
Filed under: uncultured Bacillota bacterium
Lineage: Bacteria; Bacillati; Bacillota
Description: bacterial SSU rRNA
Rfam family: Bacterial small subunit ribosomal RNA
Source: RNAcentral
AAAGUGGAGCAAUCCAUGAGUAGAGUGGCGAACGGGUGAGUAACACGUGGGUGACCUGCCUUCGAGUGGGGGAUAACAUCCCGAAAGGGGUGCUAAUACCGCAUGACAUCCUGCCUUUGAACAGGCGGACAUUAAAGCCGGGGAUCGCAAGACCUGGCGCUCGAAGAGGGGCCCGCGCCCGAUUAGCUAGUUGGUGAGGUAACGGCCCACCAAGGCUACGAUCGGUAUCCGGCCUGAGAGGGCGGACGGACACACUGGGACUGAGACACGGCCCAGACUCCUACGGGAGGCAGCAGUGGGGAAUUGUUCGCAAUGGGCGAAAGCCUGACGACGCAACGCCGCGUGGAGGAUGAAGAUCUUCGGGUCGUAAACUCCUUUCGAUCGGGACGAAUGAUCGGUGACCUAAUACGUCAUCGGAAUGACGGUACCGAGAGAAGAAGCCCCGGCUAACUCCGUGCCAGCAGCCGCGGUAAUACGGGGGGGGCAAGCGUUGUUCGGAAUUACUGGGCGUAAAGGGCGCGUAGGCGGCCUUCUAAGUCGGACGUGAAAUCCCUCGGCUUAACCGAGGAACUGCGUCCGAUACUGAAAGGCUUGAAUCCGGGAGAGGGAUGUGGAAUUCCAGGUGUAGCGGUGAAAUGCGUAGAUAUCUGGAGGAACACCGGUGGCGAAGGCGGCAUCCUGGACCGGUAUUGACGCUGAGGCGCGAAAGCUAGGGGAGCAAACGGGAUUAGAUACCCCGGUAGUCCUAGCCCUAAACGAUGAGUGCUUGGUGUGGCGGGUAUCGAUCCCUGCCGUGCCGAAGCUAACGCAUUAAG